This 232-nucleotide ribosomal RNA is filed under the name Clostridioides difficile. RNAcentral's name for it is "partial 23S ribosomal RNA". It matches the Rfam family "Bacterial large subunit ribosomal RNA", at positions 658 to 889 of the family's 2925-position model. The record is from RNAcentral. Lineage: Bacteria; Bacillati; Bacillota; Clostridia; Peptostreptococcales; Peptostreptococcaceae.
GUGUGGAGCCGUAGCGAAAGCGAGUUUUAACUGAGCGUUCAGUUACGUAACGUAGACCGGAAACCGGGCGACCUACCCAUGAGCAGGAUGAAGCGAAAGAAAAAGUUCGUGGAGGUCCGAACCCACGGGCGUUGAAAAGCUCGGGGAUGACUUGUAGGUAGCGGUGAAAUUCCAAGCGAGCCCGGAGAGAGCUGGUUCUCCCCGAAAGAGCUUUAGGGCUAGCCUCAAGGUG